This 504-nucleotide ribosomal RNA is filed under the name uncultured bacterium. Its description in RNAcentral is "partial 16S ribosomal RNA". It matches the Rfam family "Bacterial small subunit ribosomal RNA", at positions 29 to 523 of the family's 1533-position model. The record is from RNAcentral.
AUCGAACGCUGGCGGCAGGCCUAACACAUGCAAGUCGAACGGUAGCACAGAGAGCUUGCUCGCGGGUGACGAGUGGCGGACGGGUGAGUAACGUCUGGGAAACUGCCCGAUGGAGGGGGAUAACUACUGGAAACGGUAGCUAAUACCGCAUAACGUCACAAGACAAAAGUGGGGGACCUUCGCGCCUCACACCAACGGAUGUGCCCAGAUGGGCUCAGCUAGUAGGUGGGGUAAGGGCUCACCUAGGCGACGAUCCCUAGCUGGUCUGAGAGGAUGACCAGCCACACUGGAACUGAGACACGGUCCAGACUCCUACGGGAGGCAGCAGUGGGGAAUAUUGCACAAUGGGCGCAAGCCUGAUGCAGCCAUGCCGCGUGUAUGAAGAAGGCCUUCGGGUUGUAAAGUACUUUCAGCGGGGAGGAAGGCGGUGAAGUUAAUAACUUCACCGAUUGACGUUACCCGCAGAAGAAGCACCGGCUAACUCCGUGCCAGCCGCCGCCGUAA